Molecule: ribosomal RNA, 451 nt
Filed under: uncultured bacterium
Lineage: Bacteria
Description: partial 16S ribosomal RNA
Rfam family: Bacterial small subunit ribosomal RNA
Source: RNAcentral
GUGGGGAAUCUUGCGCAAUGGGCGAAAGCCUGACGCAGCCAUGCCGCGUGUGUGAAGAAGGCCUUUUGGUUGUAAAGCACUUUAAGCGAGGAGGAGGCUACCGAGAUUAAUACUCUUGGAUAGUGGACGUUACUCGCAGAAUAAGCACCGGCUAACUCUGUGCCAGCAGCCGCGGUAAUACAGAGGGUGCAAGCGUUAAUCGGAUUUACUGGGCGUAAAGCGCGCGUAGGUGGCCAAUUAAGUCAAAUGUGAAAUCCCCGAGCUUAACUUGGGAAUUGCAUUCGAUACUGGUUGGCUAGAGUAUGGGAGAGGAUGGUAGAAUUCCAGGUGUAGCGGUGAAAUGCGUAGAGAUCUGGAGGAAUACCGAUGGCGAAGGCAGCCAUCUGGCCUAAUACUGACACUGAGGUGCGAAAGCAUGGGGAGCAAACAGGAUUAGAUACCCCUGUAGUCC